Molecule: long non-coding RNA, 679 nt
Filed under: Trifolium pratense (red clover)
Lineage: Eukaryota; Viridiplantae; Streptophyta; Magnoliopsida; Fabales; Fabaceae
Description: long non-coding RNA (TPRA_LNC014048)
Source: RNAcentral
UGCUCUUUCAUCCCAAAAUAGUGGUAGUUACGGCUCCGUUACCUCUGCCGGUUUCCUCAAUGUGGUUCUCUGGUUUAAUUUUCUGCUACUGAUUUGCAUUUAUCCUGGUUUAUUUCUAAUAGCAUUUUUGUCUAUGAUAUGAUCUGUUCCUACAAGGCAGUAGCAGGGUGCUUCAGUUCUGGUGUUUGAAUUUUGGUACAGUUGUGUUAUGCUCAUCACAAGUCAGCUUGUAUUGAGCUUCUGUUUGACACAGUGGGGAGUCUCUUUGUGCCUACAUUUGUGUUGGUUAUCCCCUAAUCACUGAUGCUCAUAAUGCUCUCCAUGAGAAGGUAAUUGUUUCAACUUUCCUUGAAAAAUCAAUAGUUGAUAAUAGAUUAAAUAUAUAACUAUGCUAUUAGGAUACUUGAUUGUGUAGGCAAGAAAAUCUAUUAGGAUUCUUGAUUGCGGGAAUACAUUUUACCAAUCAUUGAUGACUUUCGUGCUUCACAUUUUCUUGGUUUUAAAAAUGUCACUGAAAUCAUCACUUUUGUCAUGCAGGAUAUUCCCCCAAAACAGGGGUUUUGACCUUGCUCUUGCCACCGCACCACAUCGCCGUUAUUAUGUGAACCGACUUCUUGAUUCCCUCUCAUAAGGAGUUCACGAUGAACCGACAAGAUCGAGAUGUGCUCACAUGGCUGGC